This is a non-coding RNA of Triticum urartu, 126 nucleotides long. The record is from Rfam. Lineage: Eukaryota; Viridiplantae; Streptophyta; Magnoliopsida; Poales; Poaceae.
UAGAUACUCCCUCCGUCCGAAAAAGCUUGUCCCAAGCUUAUUGCUCAAAUGAAUGUAUCUAGCACUAACUUGGUGUUAGAUACAUUCAUUUGAGGGACAAACUUUUUUGAACGGAGGAAGUAGAUG